CACACACAACCGCCACCCCACGCAAACAGAUCAACAAAAAAAAGAAACAGGCAUGAAAAAUAGAAUUCUGAACUCGAAGCUUGUUUAAGAGCCUCUUAACCCUAAACAUAAACCAAGUACACUAAUUGUAACCAGACCAAAAACAACCCAGAGCAGAGGGAAGAGGAGAGGUUAAAUAUGAAAAAAAAAAAAAAAGGAAAGUACAACCUGAAGUUCCAUGCUUGUUGUCCUUAUUAACGAGGGAUGAGUGACAAGAUAGACCAGGUGAAAAUGAAGCAUUUUCAGAAGCUCCAUCUUUCCAGUUCACCAUAGGUGGUUUCCUGCUGAAGGUCAUGCUGAU
This 340-nucleotide long non-coding RNA is filed under the name Ricinus communis (castor bean). Its description in RNAcentral is "long non-coding RNA (RCOM_LNC003834)". The record is from RNAcentral. Lineage: Eukaryota; Viridiplantae; Streptophyta; Magnoliopsida; Malpighiales; Euphorbiaceae.